Molecule: ribosomal RNA, 269 nt
Filed under: uncultured Actinomycetales bacterium
Lineage: Bacteria; Bacillati; Actinomycetota; Actinomycetes; Actinomycetales
Description: partial 16S ribosomal RNA
Rfam family: Bacterial small subunit ribosomal RNA
Source: RNAcentral
GUGCCAGCCGCCGCGGUAAUACGUAGGGUACAAGCGUUGUCCGGAAUUAUUGGGCGUAAAGAGCUCGUAGGUGGUUUGUCGCGUCUGCUGUGGAAUCGUGCCGCUUAACGGUGCGCGUGCAGUGGGUACGGGCAGACUGGAGUGCAGUAGGGGAGUCUGGAAUUCCUGGUGUAGCGGUGAAAUGCGCAGAUAUCAGGAGGAACACCGGUGGCGAAGGCGGGACUCUGGGCUGUUACUGACGCUGAGGAGCGAAAGCAUGGGGAGCGAAC